Molecule: ribosomal RNA, 253 nt
Filed under: uncultured bacterium
Lineage: Bacteria
Description: partial 16S ribosomal RNA
Rfam family: Bacterial small subunit ribosomal RNA
Source: RNAcentral
UACGGGGGGGGCAAGCGUUGUUCGGAAUUACUGGGCGUAAAGGGCUCGUAGGCGGCCAACUAAGUCAGACGUGAAAUCCCUCGGCUUAACCGGGGAACUGCGUCUGAUACUGGAUGGCUUGAGUUUGGGAGAGGGAUGCGGAAUUCCAGGUGUAGCGGUGAAAUGCGUAGAUAUCUGGAGGAACACCGGUGGCGAAGGCGGCAUCCUGGACCAACACUGACGCUGAGGCACGAAAGCGUGGGGAGCAAACAGG